AGACAGGUUAGUGAUAAGAAUGCAUUGUAAAAUCUUCAGAAGGAAAGGAGACUGUUUUGUGGACCUUUGCGGGGGGCAGUUUUAAGUUACUAGUUUUUAAAAUCA
This is a microRNA precursor of Cavia aperea (Brazilian guinea pig), 105 nucleotides long. Lineage: Eukaryota; Metazoa; Chordata; Mammalia; Rodentia; Caviidae. The record is from Ensembl.